GACGAACGCUGGCGGUAUGCUUAACACAUGCAAGUCGAACGAGAACGGAUUAUAGCUUGCUAUAAUUGUCAGCUAAGUGGCGCACGGGUGAGUAAUGUAUAGGUAAUAUGCCUCUACUAAGGGAUAACAAAUGGAAACGUUUGCUAAUACCUUAUACUCCUUAUUAACAAAAGUUAAUAAGGGAAAGAUUUAUUGGUAAGAGAUUAGCCUGUAUUGUAUCAGUUAGUUGGUGGGUAAUGGCUUACCAAGACUAUGACACAUAACUGGUUUGAGAGGAUGAUCAGUCACACUGGAACUGAGACACGGUCCAGACUCCUACGGGAGGCAGCAGUGGGGAAUAUUGCACAAUGGACGAAAGUCUGAUGCAGCAACGCCGCGUGGAGGAUGACACAUUUCGGUGCGUAAACUCCUUUUAUAUGAGAAGAUAAUGACGGUAUUAUAUGAAUAAGCACCGGCUAACUCCGUGCCAGCAGCCGCGGUAA
This 482-nucleotide ribosomal RNA is filed under the name uncultured bacterium. RNAcentral describes it as "partial 16S ribosomal RNA". It matches the Rfam family "Bacterial small subunit ribosomal RNA", at positions 28 to 523 of the family's 1533-position model. The record is from RNAcentral.